This 209-nucleotide long non-coding RNA is filed under the name Lathyrus oleraceus (garden pea). RNAcentral's name for it is "Pisum sativum (pea) long non-coding RNA (PSAT_LNC041324)". Lineage: Eukaryota; Viridiplantae; Streptophyta; Magnoliopsida; Fabales; Fabaceae. The record is from RNAcentral.
AAGCAUGUGAAAUCAUGUAAGGCAUAUGGAAAUAAAUGGCAAGGCAACAUGUGAAAUUGCUAUAGCACGGAAUCGAAGCCUGGCUCAUUUCAAAUUAUAAGCGCGCGCUACAGUAGUGACAAACAUCAAUCAGCAUGGCAAAACACGCUAUUAUGGAUCAAAAGGUGGUUUCUGGAAAUUUUUCAAACCUUCAUCAAUGUUCUUCAUAC